CCUACGGGUGGCAGCAGGGAGGAAUAUUGGGCAAUGGACGAGAGUCUGAACCAGCCAAGUAGCGUGAAGGAUGACUGCCCUAUGGGUUGUAAACUUCUUUUAUAAAGGAAUAAAACGAGGCACGUGUGCCCUUUUGCAUGUACUUUAUGAAUAAGGAUCGGCUAACUCCGGGCCAGCAGCCGCGGUAAUACGGAGGAUCCGAGCGUUAUCCGGAUUUAUUGGGUUUAAAGGGAGCGUAGGUGGGUUGUUAAGUCAGUUGUGAAAGUUUGCGGCUCAACCGUAAAAUUGCAUUUGAUACUGGCAGUCUUGAGUACAGUAGAGGUAGGCGGAAUUCGUGGUGUAGCGGUGAAAUGCUUAGAUAUCACGAAGAACCCCGAUUGCGAAGGCAGCUUACUAAACUGUGACUGACAUUGAUGCACGAAAGUGUGGGUAUCAAACAGGAUUAGAUACCCCUGUAGUC
This 460-nucleotide ribosomal RNA is filed under the name uncultured bacterium. RNAcentral's name for it is "partial 16S ribosomal RNA". It matches the Rfam family "Bacterial small subunit ribosomal RNA", at positions 338 to 795 of the family's 1533-position model. The record is from RNAcentral.